RNAcentral lists this ribosomal RNA (253 nucleotides) under uncultured bacterium. RNAcentral describes it as "partial 16S ribosomal RNA". It matches the Rfam family "Bacterial small subunit ribosomal RNA", at positions 524 to 776 of the family's 1533-position model. The record is from RNAcentral.
UACAGAGGUCCCAAGCGUUGUUCGGAUUCACUGGGCGUAAAGGGUGCGUAGGUGGUGAGGUAAGUCGGAUGUGAAAUCUCCGAGCUCAACUCGGAAAUGGCAUUGGAAACUACCUUGCUAGAGGGUUGGAGGGGGGACUGGAAUGCUUGGUGUAGCAGUGAAAUGCGUAGAUAUCAAGCGGAGCACCAGUGGCGAAGGCGAGUCCCUGGACAACUCCUGACACUGAGGCACGAAAGCUAGGGGAGCAAACAGG